RNAcentral lists this ribosomal RNA (256 nucleotides) under uncultured bacterium. Its description in RNAcentral is "partial 16S ribosomal RNA". It matches the Rfam family "Bacterial small subunit ribosomal RNA", at positions 524 to 776 of the family's 1533-position model. The record is from RNAcentral.
UACGUAGGGACCAAGCGUUGUUCGGAUUUACUGGGCGUAAAGGGCGCGUAGGCGGCGUGACAAGUCACUUGUGAAAUCUCUGGGCUUAACCCAGAACGGCCAAGUGAAACUGUUGUGCUAGAGUGCAGAAGGGGCAAUCGGAAUUCUCGGUGUAGCGGUGAAAUGCGUGAGAUAUCGAGAGGGAACACCAGAGGUGAAGACGGGUUGCUGGGCUGACACGUGACGCUGAGGCGCGAAAGCCAGGGGAGCAAACGGG